Molecule: microRNA precursor, 61 nt
Filed under: Oryctolagus cuniculus (rabbit)
Lineage: Eukaryota; Metazoa; Chordata; Mammalia; Lagomorpha; Leporidae
Description: Ocu-Mir-483_pre stem-loop
Source: RNAcentral
AAGACGGGAGAAGAGAAGAGAGUGGCUUCAUGGUCUCCUCACUCCUCCCCUCCCGUCUUGU